CUGGAGGUAUCAGAAGUGCGAAUGCUGACAUAAGUAACGAUAAAGCGGGUGAAAAGCCCGCUCGCCGGAAGACCAAGGGUUCCUGUCCAACGUUAAUCGGGGCAGGGUGAGUCGACCCCUAAGGCGAGGCCGAAAGGCGUAGUCGAUGGGAAACGGGUUAAUAUUCCCGUACUUGGUGUUACUGCGAAGGGGGGACGGAGAAGGCUAUGUUGGCCGGGCGACGGUUGUCCCGGUUUAAGCGUGUAGGUGUGUGUUCCAGGUAAAUCCGGUUCACUUUAACACUGAGGCGUGACGACGAGGCACUACGGUGCUGAAGCAACAAAUGCCCUGCUUCCAGGAAAAGCCUCUAAGCAUCAGGUAACAUCAAAUCGUACCCCAAACCGACACAGGUGGUCAGGUAGAGAAUACCAAGGCGCUUGAGAGAACUCGGGUGAAGGAACUAGGCAAAAUGGUGCCGUAACUUCGGGAGAAGGCACGCUGACACGUAGGUGAAGUGAUUUACUCAUGGAGCUGAAGUCAGUCGAAGAUACCAGCUGGCUGCAACUGUUUAUUAAAAACACAGCACUGUGCAAACACGAAAGUGGACGUAUACGGUGUGACGCCUGCCCGGUGCCGGAAGGUUAAUUGAUGGGGUCAGCGCAAGCGAAGCUCCUGAUCGAAGCCCCGGUAAACGGCGGCCGUAACUAUAACGGUCCUAAGGUAGCGAAAUUCCUUGUCGGGUAAGUUCCGACCUGCACGAAUGGCGUAAUGAUGGCCAGGCUGUCUCCACCCGAGACUCAGUGAAAUUGAACUCGCUGUGAAGAUGCAGUGUACCCGCGGCAAGACGGAAAGACCCCGUGAACCUUUACUAUAGCUUGACACUGAACAUUGAGCCUUGAUGUGUAGGAUAGGUGGGAGGCUUUGAAGCGUGGACGCCA
This 917-nucleotide ribosomal RNA is filed under the name Salmonella enterica subsp. enterica serovar Braenderup. Its description in RNAcentral is "partial 23S ribosomal RNA". It matches the Rfam family "Bacterial large subunit ribosomal RNA", at positions 1273 to 2173 of the family's 2925-position model. The record is from RNAcentral. Lineage: Bacteria; Pseudomonadati; Pseudomonadota; Gammaproteobacteria; Enterobacterales; Enterobacteriaceae.